UACGUAGGGUGCGAGCGUUAAUCGGAAUUACUGGGCGUAAAGCGUGCGCAGGCGGUGAUGUAAGACAGGUGUGAAAUCCCCGGGCUUAACCUGGGAACUGCAUUUGUGACUGCAUCGCUGGAGUGCGGCAGAGGGGGAUGGAAUUCCGCGUGUAGCAGUGAAAUGCGUAGAUAUGCGGAGGAACACCGAUGGCGAAGGCAGCUCGCUGGGACGGUACUGACGCUGAGGCGCGAAAGCGUGGGGAGCAAACAGG
Molecule: ribosomal RNA, 253 nt
Filed under: uncultured bacterium
Lineage: Bacteria
Description: partial 16S ribosomal RNA
Rfam family: Bacterial small subunit ribosomal RNA
Source: RNAcentral